RNAcentral lists this ribosomal RNA (263 nucleotides) under Escherichia coli. Its description in RNAcentral is "partial 16S ribosomal RNA". It matches the Rfam family "Bacterial small subunit ribosomal RNA", at positions 1 to 260 of the family's 1533-position model. RNAcentral also lists the same sequence under 2 other names. The record is from RNAcentral. Lineage: Bacteria; Pseudomonadati; Pseudomonadota; Gammaproteobacteria; Enterobacterales; Enterobacteriaceae.
AAAUUGAAGAGUUUGAUCAUGGCUCAGAUUGAACGCUGGCGGCAGGCCUAACACAUGCAAGUCGAACGGUAACAGGAAACAGCUUGCUGUUUCGCUGACGAGUGGCGGACGGGUGAGUAAUGUCUGGGAAACUGCCCGAUGGAGGGGGAUAACUACUGGAAACGGUAGCUAAUACCGCAUAACGUCGCAAGACCAAAGAGGGGGACCUUCGGGCCUCUUGCCAUCGGAUGUGCCCAGAUGGGAUUAGCUAGUAGGUGGGGUAA